AAGGUUCUCCGUUUGGUGACCAGCGGAGGGACAUUACCGAGUUUACAACUCCCAACCCCUGUGAACAUUCCUUUUUGUUGCCUCGGCGGAUCAGCCCGCGCCCCGUGAGACGGGACGGCCCGCCGCAGGAACCACAAAACUCUGAUUUUAGUGUAACUUCUGAGUCUAAAAAACAAAUAAAUCAAAACUUUCAACAACGGAUCUCUUGGUUCUGGCAUCGAUGAAGAACGCAGCAAAAUGCGAUAAGUAAUGUGAAUUGCAGAAUUCAGUGAAUCAUCGAAUCUUUGAACGCACAUUGCGCCCGCCAGUAUUCUGGCGGGCAUGCCUGUUCGAGCGUCAUUUCAACCCUCAAGCCCCCGGGUUUGGUGUUGGGGAUCGGGCUGUACUCCAGCCCGGCCCCGAAAUCUAGUGGCGGUCUCGCUGCAGCCUCCAUUGCGUAGUAGCUAACACCUCGCAACUGGAACGCGGCGCGGCCAAGCCGUUAAACCCCCAACUUCUGAAUGUUGACCUCGGAUCAGGUAGGAAUACCCGCUGAAUUUUUAGAGA
RNAcentral lists this ribosomal RNA (546 nucleotides) under Fusarium acuminatum. Its description in RNAcentral is "eukaryotic LSU rRNA". The stretch from base 186 to 339 matches the Rfam family "5.8S ribosomal RNA". Lineage: Eukaryota; Fungi; Ascomycota; Sordariomycetes; Hypocreales; Nectriaceae. The record is from RNAcentral.